RNAcentral lists this ribosomal RNA (467 nucleotides) under uncultured bacterium. RNAcentral describes it as "bacterial SSU rRNA". It matches the Rfam family "Bacterial small subunit ribosomal RNA", at positions 355 to 825 of the family's 1533-position model. The record is from RNAcentral.
UUUCGAAUCAUCCACAAUGGGCGAAAGCCUGAUGGUGCGACGCCGCGUGAGGGAUGAAGGUCCUCGGAUUGUAAACCUCUGUCACCAGGGAGCAAAAACUAGACUCAUACUCUAGCUUGAGUUAACCUGGAGAGGAAGUAGUGGCAAACUCCGUGCCAGCAGCCGCGGUAAUACGGAGACUACGAGCGUUACUCGGAUUUACUGGGCGUAAAGGGUGCGUAGGCGGUCAGAUGUGUUAGGUGUGAAAGCCUGGGGCUUAACCUAGGAACUGCAAUUAAGACUGUCCAUCUAGAGUUGAGUAGAGGGGAGCGGAAUUUCCGGUGUAGCGGUGAAAUGCGUAGAUAUCGGAAGGAACAUCAGUUGCGAAGGCGGCUCUCUGGACUCAAACUGACGCUGAGGCACGAAAGCGUGGGUAGCGAACAGGAUUAGAUACCCAAGUAGUCCCUGAGCGGGCUGGCAAGGCGCAU